UACGGGGGGGGCAAGCGUUGUUCGGAAUUACUGGGCGGAAAGGGCUCGUAGGUGGCCAACUAAGUCAGACGUGAAAUCCCUCAGCUUAACUGGGGAACUGCGUCUGAUACUGGAUGGCUUGGAUUUGGGAGAGGGAUGCGGAAUUCCAGGUGUAGCGGUGAAAUGCGUAGAUAUCUGGAGGAACACCGGUGGCGAAGGCGGCAUCCUGGACCAACAUUGACGCUGAGGAGCGAAAGCCAGGGGAGCAAACGGG
Molecule: ribosomal RNA, 253 nt
Filed under: uncultured bacterium
Lineage: Bacteria
Description: partial 16S ribosomal RNA
Rfam family: Bacterial small subunit ribosomal RNA
Source: RNAcentral